This is a long non-coding RNA of Acinonyx jubatus (cheetah), 5686 nucleotides long. RefSeq lists it as uncharacterized. Lineage: Eukaryota; Metazoa; Chordata; Mammalia; Carnivora; Felidae. The record is from RefSeq and is a predicted model, not a curated record. The transcript is spliced from 4 exons.
GUUCAAUACUUUGCAAAAAGUAUUUGACAGUUUCCUAAAAGUUAAACCAUAUACCUGCCAUAUGACCCAGCCACUUACUUCUGGAGAAAAGAAAGAACAUGUCCACAGAAUGAUUUGUACACAAAUGUUCAUAGCAGCUUUAUUUGUAAUAGCACAAAAUUGAAAACAGCCACAUGUCCAUCAACAAGCGAAUGAAAAAAAAAAUGGUGGUAUAUUCUUACAUAGUGUCACUUCUGCCAUGCUGUAAGCCUGCCCAGAUUCAAGGGAAGGGAACACAGACCACACCUCUCACUGCCAGGAGUGUCAGAGUCACAAUGUAAGAAGGACAUGUACAAUGAGAGAGAUUGUUGAACAUGCCACAGUGUCUGAUGUAUGUUCCCUCGGAAAUGCUAACUCUUUUUAAAGACCUAUGCCACAUGUCAAACUGCAAACACAAAGAAUCAUUGUCCCAUAGCUUGGUACAGUGCUCAUGUUUCUUGAAAGCCCACUAACUAGAACAAUUCUGCCUCUACUUAAUGAAAGCUCAUUUCUGAGAGGCAAUAGAAUGUGUUUUAUCAUAAACUAAGUGUUCUUUAAGAACUUCCUGAGCUCAAAGAAAUGCAGUACAAGAUUGUGGCUUGAGGGUCAGAUGUGAAAAUUGUAGUUAGCUUAGGUCAACACUUAUGGAUACUCUUUUUGAUAGAGUAUUUCUGGUUGCCAAUCAUGUCUGAGCACAGACACAGAUAUUGCACAACUGACUCCAGAAAUUGGGCUCAUGUGGCUGUGAAACUAGCUCCUCAAUUGGAAAAUGGUAGAGAAAAAGAAAUUUAACCUUCCUUUUCAAUAGGGACUGGUAACCAAGUGGCCUCAGAUGAUGCAUAAAAAUCUCGAUUUUACCAAACAAUACCUGCCAAUCAUGUAGUAGGAUUGAUAGGUUUAGCAAGUCAACAUUCUGCAACAUCCCUAACUCAGGCAAUAGUUAUCAAUGGUGCUAAAAGCAUUAGGUGUAUGGUUGAUGGGAGAUUGUAUGUUCAUAUAAAGCCAAAGUGAGGCUGUACAGAUUACUUCCUAGGUGCAAGGGAAACAAUGUAACUCUCCCAUCGUAGGAUCAGAAAGUUAUCACCUUCAUCCAGUGGUUGAUCUUAGCAUCAAUAAUGGUAGGUCGACCAGAUGGUACCUGUUUCCUGAUGGGAUACAGAGGUGAAGUAAACAUUACCUAUGAUGUAUAGCCAAACUUGACUCCAUGAAACUUUAAUUUUUAGUUGAUAAGCAAUAUGGAAAACAGGGGAGCAAACUAAUUAACAAGUAUCCAGAAAAAUCCAAAAAAUGCCAUGGCCCAUAGUGCAUCUAGCCUGGUCUAGUUGAUAGGACAGGUUGUAAAGAAAAAAGAAACUGUUUUCAGUUUGGAAGAGAAAACUGUUAUUAUAAAGCAAUUAUAAUAGUUAUAACCAUUAUAAAACGAUUACAUAUUGAUUAAACCAGAUUUCAGGGAUGACUGAAGAAAUCUGAAUAUGGAUUGGUAUUAGUCAAGAUAAAACUUCAUUUAUAUGGAAAAGUAGGAAUCGUCAAAUAAAAAAAAAGCCAGGUUAUAAAAUAGCAUGUACAAUAUGGUCUGAUUUUUGGUACGAAAAAUACAGAGAUAUACACAUGCGAAUGGAUUGUCUGCACUGGAACACUUAGGAGAAUAAAGGGGGUGCUCUUGCCACUUAUGCUCGGACAACUGGGUCUCCCAGGUGAGCCAGGAAGCAUGGCCUGUCGACAAGCAGCUGUUCUCAAACAUCGGGCAAGCAGCAGUGUGACAGAAUUGCCUGGGGGGUCGGGGUGGUAGUGGAGGGAGGCAUGUGUCAGGAGGACUCCUAGGCCCCAUCCCCGGAGAUUCUGACUCAGUAGGUCUGGAAUGGGCCCAACAACUGGCCUUUUUCCUAAGUGCCCAGGUUAUUCUGCUGCUGGAAAUGGUGAAGGAACGGAGCUUGCCCCACAGCAGUUUUGGUUGACAUCACCACCAGGCAGGGACUGGCUGAUCUUUGUGGAAAUGUUUAACUGAAUUUUUCUUUCUUUCCUUCUUCCCUUCCUUCCUCCCUUCCUCCUUUCUUCUCUCACUUCCUUUUUUCCUUUCUUUCUUAGUGAAUCACUGGGAUAUCUAUCAAAUGGCCAUUAAAGGAGACAGGAAAACACAUUGGUUAGAAAUGACGAUAGAACUAGUUUGAGUACCAGCUGUAGUACUUAUUAGCUGUAUGAUAUUAGGUAUGCUUCUUAACAUCUCUGUUUUCUCGUAGGUAAAACAGGAAUAGUGAUAGGGUUGUUAUGUGGGUUAAACAAGAUAAUACAUUUAUAGCACAUAGUAAGUCUCAGUAAACAGUAGCGAUGCACGUCAUCACUAUUACCGUUAUGAACAAGCCGCAAAUGCACUGUGCUAACCUUGGAAGUGCUGCCCAUGCUAUCUUCUGCCUUUCAGAUAGUGUUUCCUGGAAAGCAAAACGAACACCUCUUCCCAUUCUUGCUUGAUGAAUAGCUUAUUGCCGCACAUCUGUUCCCUGGCAGCCCCUGAGAAGUCUGUGGGACAGUUGAGCCUGAGUCUUUGGGGGAUGGGAGACCUACACGGCACAUCUGCUUCAAUGUUUUGCUCUGAAGUCUCGGGCGUGGUUACCAUGGAAUGGAAAACUGACGACAGGGACUAGAAGAAGGUUCUCCAGUCUUUGGAACUCAACUUGUCCUUUCUGACUACAUUUUGUUUCUUACCCAAGAAAAGAAAGGAAAUGAAAAAGAAAAAGAGAAAAAGAAAGAAAAAAAGGAAAUUGUUUAAAAAUUUGAAAAGGUGAGUACACUGAAGUAGACUAAAAUAAAAUGAUGCAAGUAAAGUAGAAUUUGAAAAAAUUUACACAAAAGUAAAAAAUAUAGUAAUAAAAAUUAAAGACAGAUAUUUUUAAUAAAAAUUGAAAAUAAAAAUGAGUUUUUUCUCUUUCUGUAUUCAAGAAAAAGAAAAGAAUUGUAAAAGAGAAAAAGGAGAAAGAGAAAAAAAAGAAAAAAAAUUGAAUAGAUGAACCUGCUAACAGAUUGAAGUAGGACUGAAAUUGUUUCAUUUUCCCCUAGAGGUCAGUCCAUGUAGCUGUUUAUAGUCCAUAAAUUAGCCGGCAGUGAGGCUUGUGUUCUUGAAGAACAAAGUUGGCCCAAGUGGGAGGGGCUCGGUGUAACAGCUCCACUCUCCACUAGAUGGCGCUGCUAGCCUACUGGGGUGGAUUGUUGCUGUGCUCGUAGGUGCGCAUGCGCGUGCGCAUGCGCAUGCGCAGGAGCCGUGAAAAAUGGCGCCACCCAGCCAGCCAGUCUGUUCUCCCGGAUCAGCAAUUGUGCACCGGUUCUCUGUCUUCAGCUCUUGUCCACUCCCCGCUUUUUCACUCUCCAUGAUUCAGGCCCCAGGCAGUACCUCUCUCCCAAGUUUUGUCUCAGAUGUGGCUGUUUUCCCUGGCCCCUUACUUCUGAAGGACUGCGGCUUUGACCCGGUCCGCCCUUCUGCGGGAGGGUCUCACCGAACAAUGGCUGAAUGAGCAAUGGCCAAAUGUCGGCUGCACCCAGGAACGCUUGCCGGACCCUGCGGUUGCCGGUGCCCCGAGACUGCGGCCCCGUGCCAGCCCGCCCCCAAAAAAGAUCGCGAGACAGUGUAGCAUCAGUGUUUCAGGGAUUAUGGAAAAUUGCAACACACAUCUGGCACCAGGCUUUACCCUCAAUGACCUUGCCGCAGCACCAGCGAAUGUGGCUGCCUUCCGGGGUCUGCUGGGACCAGGUGGCUUCAACAGUCUCUACCAAAUGUCCUUCCAGCGGUGGAACCGCUUUUCCCGUGUGGCCCGAGAACCUCCCGGACCCCACUCCGUUCCUGGGGAUUCACCUUUCCCACCAGAGCACCGCCAGGUUUGUGAAGAACAAAAUGCUGGCCCCGGGGAGCCAACGCAGAGUAAACAGUCCUGUCCAGAAGGCAUGGAAGGGCAUCUGGCCACGGCCUUGAGGACCCCGGGCACAAGUUCUGAGACACCCUGAGGCCUGCAGACAAGCCCUUCCUCCUGGAGCUGGAGGAAGAUGGCUCAGCUCUAGAGCCAGAAGAGUACUUGAGGGCCUGGCAGAGGACACAGUGCUCGGCGAUGAAGUAAACACUUUAGAUCACCUGGGGACAUCGUGGCAGAAUGGGAGCCAGAACCAAGGAUCUGACUCCUCUUUGGACGUGAGUUGAGACUCUUACAAGUUCUGCCUCGAAGGGGGCUGGCUUCCCAUGGUAAGAUAAAAGAAUCCUCUCUUGGUUUGGAAUCAGCUUUCCCAGUUUUGCUCCACCCACUCCAUUCCGCAGGUCUCCCCUCCCACCCCCUCCUCCCUUUCACACAUCUCCAUAGUGACGGUUUUCAUCUCUCAUUCGGGAUGCCCCUGGUACAGUGUGAGAUGAGGCACAGCUCGCUUCAGGGUUGAGCUGGUGUUUUUCCGGAGACGAACUGUCAUCUGUGUGUGUAUCCACCUCUGGCAGGGACACACCCUGGUGUAAUCUAACGUCCCUGCUCUGGUUGUAUAUCUGGAGAGUCUGCUAUUGCCUUAGAGUCUGUGAGUCCUUGAGGGCAAGGGACAAGGACUCAUUACUCUAAAUCUCCAGGCAGCUAAUAAGGUGUUACCCGCUGUGGACAUUUGAUAGAUGGUUGGCAUUUACUUCUCUUCUUCUGAAGAUUCCAUCAUCCAGGGAGAUAGUUUCACCUGUCGCUUCCCUUCUAAGCUCAGCUUUGGGAGAUAAGGCUUCAGAAGGGAAGUGUGUCUUCCCACAUAUGGCUCUGUUUUAAACUUAAUGUAUUUAUUUGAGUACCUAGAUACCAUGGUGAUCGGUGCUGUAGGAAGAGAGAGAAAGAGCAGGGAGGCGGAACAGAGAGAGGGAGCAGCCCAAACACCAGGGGGCUGGAAGCAAUGUUUUGUGACACCGCUGUUUAUCUUGAGCCGGCAGUAUUAUUUAUCACGUCCUCCGUGCACACAUCUCUCCCCUGGGAGCGUACACGCUGCUUGUUUCUUAGGCACUUAUGUUCUCUGGGCCUCGAGAGGAGGAGACAUGUUGCCUUUGGCAUGUAAAGGUACACAUCACUGUCACCGCUUCUGACGUUUGUAUGUCAUUGGACCCUGUUCGGUGCACGUUCAUGCACCCUACUUCCCUCCUGUAAGCCUGUGUCAGGCCAGAUUGGAUUCACCCUAUUUUUUGAUGAAUUUGAGAUUCAGAGACUAACUUGUCCAAAGGCACUCGACAAGUGAGUGCUCAGAGCUAAAAGCCACCUGUUUCCUAGAGCAAAGCCCCUUAUGCUACGAUCGGGCUGUGCAGCGGUGGGAAUUCAUGGCAGGCGGGACAGACCUGGUGCAUUUGGGGCAGGGUCCAGGCUGGAGUGAGCUGCGUGGAGUGUGGUCCAAGUCACAGAGAAACAGCUAGAGCUUCUGCAUGGAGCCCACAAAAAAAAUGGGGCAUUGGCUGCAGAAGGAAUUUUGCUGAUUUUAUGUCUUGAGACAAAAGAAAGUGUAAAGUGUAAAUGCACCCUGUGUCCAGACUGACAGCCAUUGCAAAGAGCUCCCUGCAGCACAAGUGAACUUUGGUGUUUCUGCUUAUCUGCCUGGACUAACCCAAACCUGGUCCCGAGACUGGUGCAUGGCUGCUGGCAUCCUUCCUCAAGGCAGACUAAGAUGAAUGAGACCCAAGAUAGAA